This 253-nucleotide ribosomal RNA is filed under the name uncultured bacterium. RNAcentral's name for it is "partial 16S ribosomal RNA". It matches the Rfam family "Bacterial small subunit ribosomal RNA", at positions 524 to 776 of the family's 1533-position model. The record is from RNAcentral.
UACGGAGGAUCCAAGCGUUAUCCGGAUUUAUUGGGUUUAAAGGGUGCGUAGGAGGGCAGGUAAGUCAGUGGUGAAAUCUCCAAGCUUAACUUGGAAACUGCCGUUGAUACUAUCUGUCUUGAAUAUUGUGGAGGUGAGCGGAAUAUGUCAUGUAGCGGUGAAAUGCUUAGAUAUGACAUAGAACACCAAUUGCGAAGGCAGCUCACUACUCAAUCAUUGACUCUGAGGCACGAAAGCGUGGGGAUCAAACAGG